GACGAACGCUGGCGGCGUGCUUAACACAUGCAAGUCGUACGGUAAGGCCCUUUCGGGGGUACACGAGUGGCGAACGGGUGAGUAACACGUGAGUAACCUGCCCACAACUUUGGGAUAACGCUAGGAAACUGGUGCUAAUACUGGCUAUGUGCUCCUGCUGCAUGGUGGGGGUUGGAAAGCUCCGGCGGUUGUGGAUGGACUCGCGGCCUAUCAGCUUGUUGGUGGGGUAGUGGCCUACCAAGGCGGCGACGGGUAGCCGGCCUGAGAGGGUGACCGGCCACAUUGGGACUGAGAGACGGCCCAGACUCCUACGGGAGGAAGCAGUGGGGAAUAUUGAACAAGGGGCGCAAGCCUGAGGCAGCAACGCCGCGGGCGGGAUGACGGCCUUCGGGUUGUAAACCGCUUUCAGCAGGGACGAAGCUUUUUGUGACGGUACCUGAAGAAGAAGCACCGGCUAACUACGUG
RNAcentral lists this ribosomal RNA (465 nucleotides) under uncultured bacterium. RNAcentral describes it as "partial 16S ribosomal RNA". It matches the Rfam family "Bacterial small subunit ribosomal RNA", at positions 28 to 507 of the family's 1533-position model. The record is from RNAcentral.